AUGAAGAGAACAUCCCAUUCAUCAUUGUUUGGAAACCUUGCCAUAAGACACACAUUGUGCUUCUGUGGUGGCACUUAGGCCUUCCACUUUCAGAAGGUGACCUGUGGCAAAUGUUGCUACCCUACCAGCCACAACAGAAAGUAUAGCUGGAAUGCCAAGGCUAAAAGCUGAAAUACUACUGCAACUAGUCGAAUGAGACACCUAAAAAUUGUCACCGCAGACCUAGGCAUGGAUUCUAUAAAGGAACAACACACCUAAAUCCAAGAGGGCAGCUGUUGCAGCAUCCAGUU
RNAcentral lists this long non-coding RNA (290 nucleotides) under Homo sapiens (human). RNAcentral describes it as "non-protein coding lnc-SERPINH1-2:1". The record is from RNAcentral. Lineage: Eukaryota; Metazoa; Chordata; Mammalia; Primates; Hominidae.